GAUGAAGAACGUAGCGAAAUGCGAUAAGUAAUGUGAAUUGCAGAAUUCAGUGAAUCAUCGAAUCUUUGAACGCAUCUUGCGCUCCUUGGUAUUCUGAGGAGCAUGCCUGUUUGAGUGUCAUUAAAUUCUCAACUACACUGACUUUGAAUUGGUGUGGCUUGGAUUUGGGGGGAAAAUUGUUGUGGGCUUUUUGUAUAGUCUGCUCCCCUGAAAUUGAUUAGCGGUACCUUUGUGGAACUGUCUACAGGUGUGAUAAUUAUCUACAUCUUAGACAUCUGCUGGAAUGCUGCUUUCUAAACCUUACUUGUAUUGACAAUCUUGACCUCAAAUCAGGUAGGACUACCCGCUGAACUUAAGCAUAUCAAUAAGCGGAGGAA
Molecule: unclassified non-coding RNA, 377 nt
Filed under: soil metagenome
Description: partial contains 5.8S ribosomal RNA, internal transcribed spacer 2, and large subunit ribosomal RNA
Rfam family: 5.8S ribosomal RNA (bases 1-120)
Source: RNAcentral